This is a non-coding RNA of Apaloderma vittatum (bar-tailed trogon), 74 nucleotides long. The record is from Rfam. Lineage: Eukaryota; Metazoa; Chordata; Aves; Trogoniformes; Trogonidae.
GGACCGGUUAGCUCAGUCAGUUGAGCAUAGCCCUAACAACACUAAGGUUGCGGGUUCGAUUCCCGUUUGGUCCC